UACGAAGGGGACUAGCGUUGUUCGGAUUUACUGGGCGUAAAGCGCGCGUAGGCGGCCCGAUAAGUCUGCUGUAAAAGUCAACGGCUCAACCGUUGAAAGCCGGUGGAUACUGUCGGGCUAGAGUUCGGAAGAGGCAAGUGGAAUUCCUGGUGUAGCGGUGGAAUGCGCAGAUAUCAGGAGGAACACCUAUAGCGAAGGCAGCUUGCUGGGACGAAACUGACGCUAAGGCGCGAAAGCGUGGGGAGCGAACAGG
This 253-nucleotide ribosomal RNA is filed under the name uncultured bacterium. RNAcentral's name for it is "partial 16S ribosomal RNA". It matches the Rfam family "Bacterial small subunit ribosomal RNA", at positions 524 to 776 of the family's 1533-position model. The record is from RNAcentral.